MicroRNA precursor from Athene cunicularia (burrowing owl), 90 nucleotides. The record is from Ensembl. NCBI's taxonomy places the organism in Eukaryota, Metazoa, Chordata, Aves, Strigiformes, Strigidae.
UCAGGUGCCGUGCAGCAGCUGGUGUUGUGAAUCAGGCCGUCACCAGUCGGAGAACGGCUACUUCACAACACCAGGGUCGCACCGCACCAC